GAUCCUAGCUCAGGAUGAACGCUGGCGGCGUGCUUAACACAUGCAAGUCGAGCGAAGCACUCUGCUUUGAUUCUUUCGGGAUGAAGAGCAUUGUGACUGAGCGGCGGACGGGUGAGUAACGCGUGGGUAACCUGCCUCAUACAGGGGGAUAACAGUUAGAAAUGGCUGCUAAUACCGCAUAAGACCACAGCACCGCAUGGUGCAGGGGUAAAAAACUCCGGU
RNAcentral lists this ribosomal RNA (222 nucleotides) under uncultured bacterium. RNAcentral's name for it is "partial 16S ribosomal RNA". It matches the Rfam family "Bacterial small subunit ribosomal RNA", at positions 15 to 215 of the family's 1533-position model. The record is from RNAcentral.